GUCUACGGCCAUGCCACCCUGAACAAGCCCAGUCUUGUGUGAAGCUAAGCAGGGUUGGGCCUGGUUAGUACUUGGAUGGGAGACCAACUAGGAAUACCAGGUGCUGUAGGCU
Molecule: ribosomal RNA, 112 nt
Filed under: Pteropus alecto (black flying fox)
Lineage: Eukaryota; Metazoa; Chordata; Mammalia; Chiroptera; Pteropodidae
Source: RNAcentral